Blastomyces gilchristii SLH14081 is the source of this 89-nucleotide non-coding RNA. NCBI's taxonomy places the organism in Eukaryota, Fungi, Ascomycota, Eurotiomycetes, Onygenales, Ajellomycetaceae. The record is from the annotation of a RefSeq genome assembly.
GCCUCAGUGGCUGAAUGGUUAAUGCGGUGACUCAGUAGCACCUUGGUGUGGGAAAUCAAGGCGCGCGGGUUCGAAACCCGCAGGGGAUA